AACGAACGCUGGCGGCGCGCCUAAUACAUGCAAGUCGAGCGAGAAGACGUAGCAAUACGUUUGUAAAGCGGCGAACGGGUGAGGAAUACAUGGGUAACCUACCCUCGAGUGGGGAAUAACUAGCCGAAAGGUUAGCUAAUACCGCGUACGCUCCUUGGACUUCGGUUCAGGGAGGAAAGCGAUACCGUGGGUAUCGCGCUCUUGGAUGGGCUCAUGUCCUAUCAGCUUGUUGGUGAGGUAACGGCUCACCAAGGCUUCGACGGGUAGCUGGUCUGAGAGGACGAUCAGCCACACUGGCACUGCGACACGGGCCAGACUCCUACGGGAGGCAGCAGUAAGGAAUAUUGCGCAAUGGGCGAAAGCCUGACGCAGCGACGCCGCGUGGGGGAUGAA
Molecule: ribosomal RNA, 393 nt
Filed under: uncultured bacterium
Lineage: Bacteria
Description: bacterial SSU rRNA
Rfam family: Bacterial small subunit ribosomal RNA
Source: RNAcentral